RNAcentral lists this long non-coding RNA (5704 nucleotides) under Taeniopygia guttata (zebra finch). RNAcentral describes it as "lncRNA (ENSTGUG00000020559.1)". The record is from RNAcentral. Lineage: Eukaryota; Metazoa; Chordata; Aves; Passeriformes; Estrildidae.
UUUUAUACACGUUUUAUUUUACCUUGAAAACCAAUGUAGUUUAAGCACCUAGGGACACCAUAGACAUUUCCUUCCCUAAAGAUGCUGAAAGCACUGAACAAGUACUGGCCUGCACAAAACCAUUUACAUUUGAUACGCUGAUAUAGCCUGUGGCAUACAGUAUUAAUAAUAGUUCUCAUUUUUACACUCUGUCCAACCUAAUCCACAUAAUUUGAAAAAUUUUGAAUCCAAAAUGCUUUGUGCAUGCACAUGUUCCAUGAACAUAUGUGUUUCUUUGUAGCCUCAGGAGAUGCAAGUCAAUAUAGCUUUAUAUACUUUAAGAAUGCUUUCCUGAUUCACCCUAGUUCAGGAUUUUAUUGAAAAUUACUUCCAUUUACUCAAUACUCAAUUUUAAAUGCUUUCUAUAGCUUCAUAUGUUGAUACAAUGUACUGUCAUCCUAGUCCAUUUUUUCAGAAAUGGCUGGUUUUUGUCAUCCUUUCCUUCUUUUUAAAGGCUUUACUCAUUCACUGGCUAAAUCCAUUCAUCCUUGAAGAUUAACAGUGUUCUUCCCUAUCUAGGGGACUACACCCUCCACCUCUUCAUUACUGGACUGCAUUGUACCAUUACCUUAACUUGUUCUCUUUAUGGCUGCUGGCACCUAUUUUAUUUGAUGAAGUGAAUCUCUCAUUAUAAGCUUAUUAGCAUCCAUGUCAAGACAAUGUGAAAAGUCCUCCUCUUUCAAGACUGAUGUAUACAAACAAGUAGAGAAUAGAAGACAUGAGGAAUCAUUUCACUGCCACGUGAAUACCUCUAACUCUAAUCGACAGGGUAAUUAAACCCCAAAGAUAUCCCAAGAAAGCAGCCUGGGUAGCUGUGAUCAUGCCAUGUAUGCAAUAUAGAACACAUUCUGUGAAAUAGGAUCAAAAUGGUUUCUGUGCAUUUUGUGUCACCAAAGCAGCUGUCCUGAUGAUUCACAUCCUAUUAAAUCCUAUUUAAUAUGCUUUGGGCAUGUCAUCAUCAAUUAAAAAUAGUUUUCAUUUCAGAAAACAUUUUGGAAUUUUGAAACUGGGAAUAGCUUCCUUUGGACAAAGACUCCUAAGGAUUCUCCUCUGUAGGACCCCUGUGCUUACCUCUCACGCCUCACGUUUGUAACAGUUCAGUGUCAGGCCUCCAUGGGAGAUCUCUAUAGGAGAAAUAAUUUUAUUUUUCUCCUCUCUCCCAAGUCUUCACCCAUAGUUUUUCCCAGAAUUGCCACUUGUCUGUAGUUUCUCUGCAGUUGCUACCACAUUAUUUCAACUCUUCAUCUGUGGAUGUAAUAGCCUAGUCAGAGAGCGAGAAAACCAGGUAAGUUUUCUCAUGGUGGGCUUGUGAGACUCUACAGAGUGUAAAGAAAUGAUGAUAGCUUCUUAUUAUAAACAACCUGCAGGUGGUGUUUUUCCUACUCUCUGUUUUCCUGUUUUCUCAAUGAUUGUUUAUAAGAAAGCUGUUUUUGUUAAUUAGCCAAUCAGGUGAAAUGUUGACCAAUAUAGUCUGUAUGUAUUGGAACAGUAUAAAAAGAGAGAAUUUUCGUAUUAAAGCUGCUGCUGUGCAAACCAGACUUCUGGUGAGUCUGUGUUGGUUUUUACUCAAUAGCGACAUUCAUUCUCUUUCUAGCUCCUAUUUUUUUUAUUAACCACCUUUAUAUCACUUGGGUUGCCUGCUCUUCUGAGUGUUCCAGCUGCAGGAACAGUGAUUUUUCCAUUUGUGGACAGUGAAUUUGUAAGGGGACAGAUGCAUCAGUUGAAUGCUUACACUAGACUGGAAUAGAAUAGUCUAUCUGGAAUAGAUCUAAAAUGAUCAUUCAGUUACAGUCCAACUGCCUGUUCCAUUCAAGGCUGAUCAAAUGCUAAAGCUUGGUAAUAAAGGUAUUGUCCAAAUGCCUCUUCAACACUGAUAGACAUGGGGGGAACCUCUUCAGAAGUCUGUUUCCAGGGUUUGACCACUCCAGGUAAAAAAAUAUUUCCUAAUGUCAGGUCUAUUGGGUCUGAUAAGAUUCAUCCCAUAGUAGUGAAGGAGCUAGCAGAUAUCACAAAAGGACCUGUUUGAUUUAUCUACACAAUAUUCCUGGGAGUCUGGGGAGGCCCCCAGUGACUGGUAGCUAACAAACACUACUCCAAUUUACAAGUCCUGGCAGAGUCUUGGGUGUGCUCACAGGCCUUAGUGGAUGGAACUUGCCUCUCCCCACUUCCUCCAUCUCCUGCCAAGGGCCCAGGGGAUGUGUCCCAGCUCAGCCUGGGACCUUCAGUCCCUGCCUGAGCCCUGCUAUAGGUGUGCCCAUCUCUGCCCCUGUCUCCUGGGUGGGCCUGGGACCUGCACUGCAGAGCUGCUCUGGGGUGGAGCCCUCAGACUUGGGUUGUAGCUUGUUAUGCAAAACUCUGCGUUUAAUGUGGCUUAACUGGUCUGUUCUAUUUCCUGUGCUCAUCAUGAGUCAAGUAACAAUGAUCAUUAUUUUCCAGAAAUGUCAAGGGCUUUUCAUCUCCUAAGACACAUUCAAGGACACAUAAUACACAGGUUAUAACUGGAAACAGGAUAUUAUUUUAAUUUUUAUUUUUCUUCAUCUGUUUUGGAAUUGAUGCUCACAACCAUUAACACAAUGUGCAUGUGUAGCCAGGAUCAGGCUGAUGUGUUCUUCAGUUUAGCUUUACAACCCAUCCUUUGUAGUCUGGAAAAGGAAAGUGACAGAGCUACAGAAUAUAGUAGCAGGAAUACAGGCCCAGCAGCUCUUGUUUCCUGAGGCAUGAGAACACAAAGACUGACUGUACCAACCUCACACAAAAAAGAAAGCAUAUGUGAUACUGUGGGAUAUUUUACAAAUUAUAACGCAUAUUGAUGACAAGCACAAUUUUUGCCAUCCAAGAUUUCCCUUGUUGCUGUGCUUCCUGGCCAGGGAUGCAUGGCCCGUGCUUGUGUUGCAUGCAGGAGAACUGAAGAAUGACAGCUCUGGAUGGAUGCAAGAAUCCCAUGGGAAAUGGAGCCAAGGGAAGAGCAGAGCUCAGCCCCACUCCAGGUUUGCAAUGGGCAAGAGAGCCAGAGAGAGCCAGGGCACAAGUGGUGCCUUGGAGGUGUGAGGGCAGCAGGCAAGAAUGGAGUCACAGGAGCCCAGAGGAGCCCUGACAGGGGCUGUUCCCAGUGCUACAGGAGGACAAGAAGCAACCCCCAGGCCACCCUUGGGACCCACCCUGGGAGUCUGGAAAGCUUCUUGCCCACAGCUGCAGGGUAUGACAGACCAUCUUCAUGGGGCAUGAGCAGCAGGCAGCAACCCAGCCAAAAGGGACUGAAGGAGCCCUGAACAGUGGUCAUGCUCAGUGCUGCAGAGGAAAGCAAAACUCCCUAGGAACCAGUGCCAGUCUGCCCUGGGGGAAGAUUCCUUCUUGACCCCAGUGCUACUGAUUUGCCAUCCUGAAAAUGGACUCUGGAAUUAAUGGACCCGGCAGAAACACAAAUCUUCUUAGACUAGAACCACAUCCCAUCCUGCUCCUUAACGAGAGACCGCUGGACAGGACAGCCCAGGGUCAGCCAGGCCAAGUGCCAAUAGCACAACAGAUAGAGUCUCCAAGGAAGCUCAGGUAAGUCCCUGGUCCAAAGAGAUGGAUCACUGAUUUUUUUUACUCUUUCCCUCUCAUAAUAAACCAAAACUCUUCAAGGGAUCUUUAAGAGAUCCUGCCCUUAAAAAUGACAACAGCCUGUGCACAGGGAGGGGCCAGGUGAGAGCUUGGUGCUGCCCUCAGCACUGAAGGGGGUCAGUGCAAGGAAAGAGCCAAGAAAAAGCUCAGAUCGACACACAUCCAUCUUCCUCCAACCGAGAACCCUGGAUAUUGGGCUCAUUCAUCAAAGCAGCAUGAACUUGGCUUUUAGACGUUUUACUUCACACUGAACGUGAACUAAACUUCUGCUCAGUUGGCACUGGUUGAGGUUAUGUAUUUUGAAGGUUCAAGAAGGUAGGGAUGAUCCUAUGAUGUGCUUAGGGCUUUUUCACUCGAAGAUAUUUCUGAGAAGAUGAGGCAGGAAAACUCCUCUAAAAAUUCCCUUCUCUACCAGGCUGGUUUCGAGCUAUAACUCACUUGAUCACUUCCCGUAGUUUUAGUAAAAGAUCCUAAGGAGAAAGAAAAUGUCCAGCUGCAAGCCUGGCUGGAGUGAUUUACAGCUCUCUGAAAUCUGCAGGCAAAGCAGCUUGGGAAGCACAGCAAGAACAGGCAGACCUGCCCUUGCUUGGGUGGCCCAGUCUGUGGCAAGCCCUACCACAAAGGAGAGAGAUUAAAACUCAGUGAAGUAUAGUUUUUCUCCACAUUUCUGACUGGUUUGCACAAAAAUUGUGCUUGUUGCUUACUUUUCAGCUAUCUAUCCAUUUUCAACUUUAUUUUUGAAUGGGAUGAGAGCAACAGAGAGUUUUAAUGGUCACUGAGCUAAUGACCACACCAUUGUGCCUCUCAACCGCAAUCCCAUGGGGCUGUAGAGAAGAAAAAAAGCUGAAUUUAAAAACAACCUGGCAAGUUUGUGCAGAGAUUGGCAUGACAUAUAAGGAUGUGCUUACCUCUCUGAGUGGUGCAGGCAAGCAGCAUCGAGAAUAAAGAAUAUGGGCUGUCACCUCACCAGAUUUCAAUAGGCCAGCCCAUGUGCCUGAUGUACAUAGCACCCUCCCGUCACUAAAACGCAAAACUAGCAGGUAACAUGCUUCUAAAGGAGAAGUGCUUGAACUAAUGACUUGAAACAGUUGUAAAAGUCAGAGGCACAAAUAAAUGAUGGUACAGCAUGCCCCACAUACCCCAUUUUUUCUCCUGAUGCCAUGUACCUGCAGGGGAGAAAGACAUGCUAGGGCAGAUUUGGAAGGCAGUCAAGGUUGCCAGUACAGAAGAGCGGACCAUGACAUCAGCAGUCCACACACUCCAUGGUUGGCAACCUAAGGGAGCAACGCACUGUGACCUCACAUCCCUCACUGCUUAUGUUUGGGCACGGGCAGUGUCUGCUUCAGACUCACUCGUGUCUGGACUCCUGGCAAGCGUGCCUGGGAGGACUGGAAGCCUGUGAGGCCAUUGGGAGCUGCUGUCAGCAACUCUCAGUUCUCAUGCACAAGACUUUGACUGUUUCCUUAGCCCUAUCUGGUUCAGGAAGCUAAGUACUGUGGCUGGUGCUUGCAGCAGCACAGGUGAGUGGUGCAGGAAAUGUGCUUCCAUAGGGUGGCCCUGGGGUGGGUGAUGGUGUCUGGGGAGCUGUGAGUGUGUCCUUCUUGAGGGGCUUGGGCAUUUCUUCUACCUGCCCAUUUCCCUGGGACUGCAAGUGACCAUUUUUCAGAGUGUCACGCCAACAAAGAAGGAGCAGCUGCUGUCCCCAGCUCUGCUACAACACGCAAGCAUGGCCACAGAGUGGAACUGCCCCAUCUGCCGUGACAUUCCAGCUGAAAUCGCUUCUGUAACACCCUGCGUCCACCUGUUCUGCCUGGGCUGCAUUGUGCGUUGGGCCAAGAGACAACCAUCGUGCCGCUGUGCAGACAGGCUAUCGGCAGCAUCAUUUACUCUGUUCGGUCCGACGAAGACUUUCUUGAGAUAGUUUUUCCAAGGCCCUCAGAGUCACCGGCUGCUCACCAGGAGGAUGAGCAGGAGGCUGCGGAGCCAAUGCCCAGGGCUUACGUAGCUGGCUUCCCACCUCAGCUCUGGGCAAAUUUUUUCCAGGACCGCUCAGAAAUCCUCG